This 334-nucleotide unclassified non-coding RNA is filed under the name soil metagenome. RNAcentral describes it as "partial contains 5.8S ribosomal RNA, internal transcribed spacer 2, and large subunit ribosomal RNA". The stretch from base 1 to 120 matches the Rfam family "5.8S ribosomal RNA", at positions 35 to 154 of the family's 154-position model. The record is from RNAcentral.
GAUGAAGAACGCAGUGAAAUGCGAUAAGUAAUGUGAAUUGCAGAAUUCAGUGAACCAUCGAAUCUUUGAACGCACAUUGCGCCCGCUAGUAUUCUGGCGGGCAUGCCUGUUCGAGCGUCAUUUCAACCAUCAAGUUAUACUUACUUGCGUUGUGGAUAUGCGGCUGCCGCAUACCUUGAAACCUAGUGGCGGGCUCGCCUUUACACCGAGCGCAGUAAUACAUCUCGCUUUGGACGUAUGGCAAGUUCUAGCCGUUAAACACCCCACAUUUUAAGGUUGACCUCGGAUCAGGUAGGAUUACCCGCUGAACUUAAGCAUAUCAAUAAGCGGAGGA